UCUUAACUCAGAGGGCAAGCUAUUCCUUGAUCUCUGAUUGGUCAGUUUUAUGUUGUAUGAUUUCUUCUUUACUAACAUCAGCACAUUUUAGUCAGUCUACCACAUACAGCCGCACGAGAAGCAUCUUACAUAUGACGUACGUGAUAUUUUUGACAGACGUCUGAUUUCUUCUCUUUGGUCUACAACUUCACUCUGUCUAAGAUGGACAUGCUGUUUCACUAAGGUGGACAAUGUAAUAUCACCUGAGUACCAUAUAUUUGGGUGAAAACAAAACAAACUAUAUAAUUGAGAAAUAAAGUAGUGGCACAAGUCACAACUCACACCCCAGCAGGCGUUGGUCUUCAU
This is a long non-coding RNA of Haliotis rubra (blacklip abalone), 345 nucleotides long. RefSeq lists it as uncharacterized. The record is from RefSeq and is a predicted model, not a curated record. The transcript is spliced from 3 exons. Lineage: Eukaryota; Metazoa; Mollusca; Gastropoda; Lepetellida; Haliotidae.